CAAAGUAAAAAGGGCAUACGGGGGAUGCCUUGGCGACUGAAGGCGAAGAAGGACGCGGUAAGCUGCGAAAAGCUACGGGGAGCCGCAAGCAGGUAGAGAUCCGUAGAUAUCCGAAUGGGGGAACCCAAAGAUCCUGAAAAGGAAGCGAACGCCGGGGACGGAAACAUCUUAGUACCGGCAGGAAAAUAAAUCAAAAGAGAUUCCCUGAGUAGUGGCGAGCGAAAAGGGAAGAGCCCAAACCAGUUAGAUGUAAAAGGAGACAGCCGUUGUCUGACUGGGGUAGAGGGAUAUACAGGAGAGACUGUCGAAUCUCAGCGAAGAGAAAGAAGGUAAUCGAAUUAUCUGGGAAGAUAAACCGAAGAGGGUGAGAGUCCCGUAGAUGAAACCGGAAGAGGAAGCGCGUAUAAUCCCAAGUAGCGUGAGACACGAGAAAUCUUGCGUGAAUCAGGGUGGACCACCAUCCAAGGCUAAAUACUAACAGUCGACCGAUAGAGAACAGUACCGUGAGGGAAAGGUGAAAAGGACCCCGGGAGGGGAGUGAAAGAGAACCUGAAACCGUAUGCCUACAGAAAGCGGGAGCGAAAGUGACCGCGUGCCUUUUGAUUAAUGUGCCUGUGAGUUAUGGUCAACGGCGAGGUUAAGCCGAUAGAGGCGGAGCCGAAGGGAAACCGAGUGUUAAUAGCGCGGAAGUCGAUGGCUAUAGGCCCGAAACUAUGUGAGCUAUCCAUGUGCAGGUUGAAAGUCAGGUAAAACUGACUGGAGGACCGAACCGGUUGGUAGUGAAAAACCUUCGGAUGACAUGUGGAUAGGAGUGAAAAGCUAACCGAACAUAGUGAUAGCUGGUUCUCCCCGAAACGUGUGUAGGCACGGCCUCGUUAAGAGAAAGUAUUAGGGGUAGAGCACUGAUUGACGUAGGGGGGUAACCUCUGAAAUCAGUCAAACUCCGAAUACUAAUACUGGAUAAACGGGAGACAGACUGCGGGGGAAAAGCUCCGUGGUCGAGAGGGAAACAGCCCAGACCGCCAGCUAAGGUUCCGAAGAGACAGCUAAGUGUGAAAGGUAGUGAAGUUCUUAAGACAGCCAGGAGGUUGGCUUAGAAGCAGCCAUCCUUUAAAGAGUGCGUAACAGCUCACUGGUUGAAGAACAUUGCGCCGAAAAUGUAACGGAGCUAAAGCUGUACACCGAAGCUGCGGAAUGACCAAAUGGUUGUUGGUAGGGGAGCAUUGUGUAGUAGGGAGAAGUCGAGCUGGAAGGUGAGAUGGACGAGACACAAGAGCGGAUGCAGGCAUGAGUAACGAGAUGAGAGUGAGAAUCUCUCACCCCGAAAGCCUAAGGGUACCUGGGGAAGGGUCGUCCACCCAGGGUAAGUCGGGACCUAAGGAAAACCCGAAAGGGGUAUCUGAUGGAAAACCGGUAAAGAAUCCGGUACCUAGGAAAUACGAGAUACUCGAGGGGACGCAGGAGAUGAAUUUCUGAGACCAAGUUGCAAGGUCUUCUAAGCAGUAAUACCGAAGAAGUAUAUAGUGAAGAACGUAUACGGAGGGGGAGCUGUGAUGGCGAGUACGCAAGUACAAGAGGGAGGAGUCAUACUGCCAAGAAAAGCCUCGUUUAUCGUUUGAGUAUAACUAGCCCGUUCUAUAAACCGACACAGGUAGGCGAGCUGAGAAAGCUAAGGGGAGCGGAAUAACUUCUGUUAAGGAACUAGGCAAAAUAGCCCCGUAACUUCGGGAAAAGGGGUGCUCUAGGCGGUUUAGCAAUAAGCGGCAGAGAGUUGCAGUGACAAGGCCCUGGCGACUGUUUACCAAAAACACAGGACUCUGCGAACACGAUAAGUGGAAGUAUAGGGUCUGACGCCUGCCCAGUGCUGGAAGGUUAAGAGGAGAUGUGCAAGCAUUGAAUUGAAGCCCCAGUAAACGGCGGCCGUAACUAUAACGGUCCUAAGGUAGCGAAAUUCCUUGUCGGGUAAGUUCCGACCUGCAUGAAUGGCGUAACGAUCAGGGCGCUGUCUCAACAGAAGAUCCGGUGAAAUUACAGAGUGGGUGAAGAUGCCCACGACCCGCAGUUAGACGGAAAGACCCCAUGGAGUUUUACUGUAGCUUGGCAUUGUAGUUUGUUAUAAUGUGUACAGGAUAGGUGGGAGGCGGAGAAGGCGUAUCGCAAGGUGCGCCGGAGCCGAUGGUGGGAUACCACCCUCAUUAUAAUGUGCUACUAACGGUGGUAUGUGAAGAGCAUAAGCCGGACAAUGUUAGGUGGGCAGUUUGACUGGGGCGGUCGCCUCUAAAAGAGUAACAGAGGCGUGCGAAGGUCUGCUCAGGUGGGUUGGAAAUCCACCGAUGAGUGCAAGGGCAAAAGCAGGCUUGACUGCGAGACUGACAGGUCGAGCAGGAUGGAAACAUGGUCCUAGUGACCCGGCGAAUUUUGAGUGGAAAAGUCGUCGAUCAACGGAUAAAAGUUACCCUGGGGAUAACAGGCUAAUCACGCCCAAGAGUUCAUAUCGACGGCGUGGAUUGGCACCUCGAUGUCGGCUCAUCGCAUCCUGGGGCUGAAGUCGGUCCCAAGGGUUGGGCUGUUCGCCCAUUAAAGCGGUACGUGAGCUGGGUUCAGAACGUCGUAAGACAGUUCGGUCCCUAUCUGCUGCGGGCGCAGGAAGCUUGAAGGGGGUUGCUCUUAGUACGAGAGGACCGGAGUGAGUAUACCGCUGGUGAACCAGCUGUCAGGCAAAUGGCAGGAGCUGGGUAGCUAAGUAUAUGACCGAUAACCGCUGAAAGCAUCUAAGCGGGAAACGGGCCCUAAGAUUAGGCUUCCCACCAUAUUUAUAUGGGUAAGGGUAGUUCGAGACUAGAACGUCGAUAGGUUGCAGGUGUAAGUGCAGUGAUGUAUUGAGCCGAGCAAUACUAAUAACCCGAGGCUUUG
RNAcentral lists this ribosomal RNA (2913 nucleotides) under Thermotogae bacterium. RNAcentral describes it as "23S ribosomal RNA". It matches the Rfam family "Bacterial large subunit ribosomal RNA". The record is from RNAcentral. Lineage: Bacteria; Thermotogati; Thermotogota; Thermotogae.